This is a non-coding RNA of Pelobates cultripes (western spadefoot toad), 449 nucleotides long. Lineage: Eukaryota; Metazoa; Chordata; Amphibia; Anura; Pelobatidae. The record is from the annotation of a GenBank genome assembly.
GUGGCUGUGUUCUGGUGGCAUUUCUGUCGUCCUCUUUUUGUUUUAUCUUGUCAUCUUUAACAGCAUCCAUUGUAUCAGUCAGUGGUUCUGUGAACGUCCUGGAAGUAUUUAGCAGGUUGUAAAAUAUCAAAACUUACUGUUCACUGUUGGCUCUGAUUGUUCUCUGUAGUGAAAGUUCUCUGAGUCACCCUCUCCAGGACAAACUGGCCAACAGUAAGAAAAGGUUGGUGGUGCAUGGUGAGGUGGGCUGGAAAAAAAAAAUUCCAUAAAUUUCUCUUAUAGAACCAAUGGUUCUAAGCUCUCUCUGGUGCAGAAAUAUAUUUGUCAGCGAAAAACAUGUAACAUUUCAUAUGGUGUCUCACCAUUUGUAUCAUCAGGUAUGUUGUGAAUGCUCAUCUGUGUUUUCCCAGUAUUUUCCAUAUUGGACCACUAACUAUGAAAUAUUAAAG